ACAGAAACCCUGAGCUAUGAACAAAAACCUAACCUGAACUGUAAUUAGGAGCACAGUUACGAUAUUAAAUUAAGUUCGAUCAUGGCUGCUAAACGCAGUCUGCCGUCCUGGAUGUGUGCGCGUGAUUCUGGGAGCUCGGCGGGGAGAGAGAGAUCAGGAGUAAACAGAGAGAAAAGACCUGAGAGGACCAUGCUGUACUGGAUGAACGAGCGAGAGCUCGUGGAAACAGCCCUCAGCGUUUUAAUGACAAACACAGUGAAGACAGGUGUAGCUUGUCCAGCAGCAGCUGCAGAAGUCAGUGUUAUUCCAGAGACAGAUACAGAAGAGGAUUCAGACCUGGAUGCCAAGGAGAGAAGCUGUGGAUCAGAUUCCGAUGUUGAUGUUGCUGAGCAGCAGACUGUACCAUACAUCACUAGUACAGAGAAAGGGAGGUUAAGUGGAAGAUCAGACAGUGCUGGUGACCACCAUUCCACUUCACAUUCACGGGACUUGGAGAAGGAUCCAGAGCUUGAUGACGAUUCUCAGAGGACUAAGAGUGAUCCUGAAGCCAUGCAGCUUGUUCGAGAGAUCUUUUUCAGCUGAGAACAUUUACAGACUUUCGGAAGGGGAUUGGAACUGUAUUAUCUUGGGCAACAAAUUUAUGUUUUGGAUUUGACAACAAUCAGGGUCAAGUAUGGAGGCUUUGUCAUGAGCACGCCAAUCCUGCCUUUGCAGUGGAGUGACAGAAUGCCCCAACUGCUUGUGUGAAGAUCUGGAGAGUCAUCACAUACAUGACAAGGGCAGCGAUA
RNAcentral lists this long non-coding RNA (788 nucleotides) under Astyanax mexicanus (Mexican tetra). Its description in RNAcentral is "lncRNA (ENSAMXG00005020854.1)". The record is from RNAcentral. Lineage: Eukaryota; Metazoa; Chordata; Actinopteri; Characiformes; Acestrorhamphidae.